Trematomus bernacchii (emerald rockcod) is the source of this 960-nucleotide long non-coding RNA. RefSeq lists it as uncharacterized. The transcript has 5 exons. The record is from RefSeq and is a predicted model, not a curated record. Lineage: Eukaryota; Metazoa; Chordata; Actinopteri; Perciformes; Nototheniidae.
GGUUAAGACCGACGCAGAAAAAAAAGUGGGAUGAAAAAAUGGAAACCUUUGAUGCCACUAGAUCAGUUUCUUCUGCCAGUCCCUGUCUCCAUCACUGCCACGUCAGCUGGUCCCAAGGUUGGGAAGUCGUCCAAACAUCUGGCCCCUCCACCAUGUCCUCUAAGAAUCUCCUGGUGUGGACAGACGACCGAGGAGGACAAAGGAUGUUUACCUCAACCAUUGCUGUGGGAGCUGUCCGGUGCUGAACAUGCAGAGACCCUUUCCUCUUAUUAGACGUCGUACACCAACUCCACAGCUUUUUCCAGCACAUUUCAAUUAGCGUAUGUUCCGUCUCCGGGCUGAGGCUCCAUGAGAGGCCGUGGGGGCAGGAUACUGGAGGAGUUAUGAUCUAACGAGUGGCAGAGACAGUCGCUUUAUCCUGAGACAGCAAGAGAACACCUUCAUGGCCAAUCGGGUCCGGCUAAUGAGACAAGAUGGGCCAGGACCGUGGCACAACCAUUACAGCCACAGUCUGUCAGCACUUUGAGGGCAGGCUCUACUUUCUAAUGCAGCAGCAGAGUGUGAAGGAGCAGCAGAGGGUGACGCAGGAGCCGCUGAACAUGCUGUACGGCAGCCUGGUGGAUUCCUUUCAACUUUGAAGAUUUUGGUUAUCAGUGGAUGCCAGACUCUGAGGCUGUACAGUCCUGAUAUGAAAUUCCAAUUUGGUCCUGUGGUGCUCUACAUCCACACCCAGCUCUGAGCCAUAUGCAUGACAUGAUUCCCCUGCUCACCUGCGACAUAUCGGAGCUGAAUCCUCAAACAGCUGAUUGUGGAUCAGUGUCCCUCCUUCACUCACUCAGGUUAUUUUAGCACUUGUUAAUGUUCUUUUGCACUACUUUUUUCACUGGCAGUGAAUGUCUCUGCAUUUCAUUAUUGUUAGAAAAUAGACGAACUCUCUCCUCUACUCUCUGUAGCGUUGAU